CACCUCGGACUCGCCCGGAGCUCCGCCCUUCCCUUAGCCCACCUGGACGGAAAGGAAACGGACGGGCAGCUCGGGCCACGCCUCUCACUGUGGGCCCCGCGACAUUUCCGGGCUGGGAGAAGCCGAAGCCCGUAACCUCCAGUUCCCCGCAGCUUGAGGCCACCAGCGCCUGGAGAUUUUCAAACACACUCAAAGAGCUGGGAGGAGCCUGGCGGGGCCACGAAGGAGGGCAGUACUGACUCAUCACGAACCUCCAGGGCCCGGAGCCAGGGCGGCCUGGGCCCAGAGCCUCAGUCCCCUGCAGCCAGGUCAGCAGGAAACUGUCCCCCAAGCCCUCCUGCGCCAAAGAGAGGGCCUUUGGAAGGUGCUUGGAUGGUGGGGGCCACAGCCCAGUGUGCUGUUAGGAGGUGGGAACAAGGCCCCACUGGGGGCCUCCCUCCCCCGCUCCUCCCUUCCCACUCUGCUUCUGGCCUCGAGAGCUCCUUUGCCUCCGCCCUGCCCCUGUGCCAGCCUCCUUCUCCCUGGAGACCCGCAGCGCAAACCCCUGGCUGAAACCGUGAACCAAAAUAAGCCUCCCCUCCUUUAAGCAUGGGAUAUUGUGUCCCAGUGACCAGGACAGUGACUGAGGAACCCAAAGGGACAUCUGGUGACAUCUGAAUCAGUGAGCACUUUAGUCACUGGUACUGAACCUGUCUUUUUGCUGAGGUGCUGACGGUGGGCAGGCGCUGUACCCUCAGCCACAUCCGCAGCCGCACAACCAGGAUCGCCUCGUGUUUACAAAUGUACGGCGGCUGUGCCAACAGUAGGGGGAGCUGGCGGGCGAAUACAUGGGAACUCUAUUUUCAAUCUGUCAAUCUAAUAUCAUCCUUCCCCCAGAGCUUAUUAACAGUCAGAGCUGGGAAGGCAGAGGAGUGGAAAGAAAAAGGCAGAAAUGGAGAGGAUGUGGAGAAAUUGGAAACCCGGGUCUUGCUGGUGGGAAUGUAAAAUAGUGCAGCUGCUAUGCAAAAUACUUUGGCAGUUUCCCAAGAAAUUACACACGAAUGGUCCAGCAUUGCGCUUCUAGGUGUAUGUCGAAAGGAACUGAAAGCAGGGACUUGCACAGAUAUUUGAACGCAAUGUACAUAGCAGCAUUAUUCACAACAGCCAAAAGAAGGAAGCAACCCAGGAACCCAUCAGCACACGGCGGAUAAAGGAAAUGUAAUAUACAUAUCAUGGAGUAUCGGCCUUCAAAAGGACUGAGAUUUUGACAUGGAGAGUUCUUAAAGACAUUAUGCUAAGUGAAAUAUGCUAAUGUGAAGGGUUACAGGAACUACUCCAAGGAGAUGCUGGGAAGUAGCCUGGGAAUGGCCAUCCCUCUCCCAUCAUUUCUCUUCCCUCAAUCCUGCUUCAGCUUCUGUCAGCCUGUGAAGGUCCUGCAGAGUGAGGUUAAGCCUUCCACAGUUCUGAGAUUACAAGCAUGCACCGCCAUGCCCAGCUGGAGCCCACCUUUGUGCACAUCCUUGCCACACACCCUGCUGCGCCUGAUGGUCUUCUGGGAUGUUUACAACGCCGAUCACUUUAUGAAUAUGAAUCCUCUGUCCUCAUCAAGACUGUGCCUGCCUAAAGAAGACAGUUUGGUGGAAGUAGCUUCCCAUACUUCCUGUGGGACCUGGGGUUACUUAGCGCUGUUGAGUCUGGCAAUAACCAGUGUUUGUACCAAUGUCCUCCACUGUGAGCGGGGGUCCCUAAACAAUACCCUCCAGAGUGAGAAUUAUACCCUAGACUUCUCUAUUCCUCACUGAACCCAGGAGGGGGUAAGUACCUCCAUGAACAUUUAUUGAGUUGAACUUUUCUCCAUACCUUUUUAUUGAGAUAUAAUUCACACGCCAUAAAACUUACAACUUGAAAGUGUACAAUUCCAUGGUUUUCAGUAUAUUCACAGGGUGCACAAUCAUCCCUACUGCACAAUCCCAAAAUAUUGUCCUCACCCCAUUCCUCAUACACUUUCUAAAGCUUUAUUUGGUUUUUAAUCACUCAAAAUACACCCUGACUACAUCUCACUAGAUGUAACAAUUCCAUUUCAUAGACACUAAUGGUACUUACUAUGUGUCAGGCACUGUUCUGUGUACUUCACAGGUCACAUACCCUAUGUGGUAGCCAGGUGUGGUGGUGCCUGCUCACAGUCCCAGCCUGUGACCAUGGUGAGACCCUGUCUCAGAUAAACAAUCAUACAUCAUCAUCGUCGUCAUAAUCAUCACCAUCAUCAUUACCAUCAUCAUCAUCACAUUACCAUGCAGAAACUGACACUGAAAAGACAGAAAAUCCUGCCAAGAUCAUAGCUAGAAGUGGCAAAGUUUGGAUUUGAACCCAAGACAUCCGAGUCUACAUUGUUCACCGCUCCCUGCUUUCAGUUGACUAAAGCAUUAAGAUCUAACAACCAAUCCACGGAAACAAACAAAACCCAGCAGCUCCUUUACCACGAGAGGGGCAGGUCAAUGGUGUGCCUGCCUCAGGCCUACGUUCAUGCCAGAGGCGUUGCUUGUUUCCACUGCUCCCAGUUCUCUUUGUGCCAUGUGGGCUGGUUUAGUGCCCCUGUCUAUGUGCCUGGGGCCAUGGCAAAUGUCCAGGCACAGGCACAUCUCUGAAUGUGUCAGGGAGUUCAGUGCUGGAGGGAAGCCAUUCUGGGAGUAAAGCAAUCCGUGGGCCUGGAUUCCCAUGCAUUCAGACUCAAGCCCCUCAGAAAACUCCACAGGACAGGUCCUGCUCCUCACCAUGGAAGGUGGUGCUGCUGACCACUGGGCCUUCCAUUCCCCCAAACUCCCUGCUUAAACUUCUCAGCAGGUCUGCGGCUGACCCUCGCCUCCCCACAGCUGUCUCCUACCUAGUCACCAGGACAGGACAUUGCUCUGGGAAUUCCAAUUUGCUAAGGACCUCAGUCCCAAACAAUAGGUCC
Long non-coding RNA from Heterocephalus glaber (naked mole-rat), 2932 nucleotides. The record is from Ensembl. NCBI's taxonomy places the organism in Eukaryota, Metazoa, Chordata, Mammalia, Rodentia, Bathyergidae.